Molecule: non-coding RNA, 29 nt
Filed under: Rattus norvegicus (Norway rat)
Lineage: Eukaryota; Metazoa; Chordata; Mammalia; Rodentia; Muridae
Source: RNAcentral
UAACUAACUGUGCACUCCAUUUCUUUGGA